GUGAGGAAUUUUCCGCAAUGGGCGAAAGCCUGACGGAGCAAUGCCGCGUGAAGGAUGAAGGCCUAUGGGUUGCAAACUUCUUUUCUCAGAAAAGAAUUAUGACGGUAUCUGAGGAAUAAGCAUCGGCUAACUCUGUGCCAGCAGCCGCGGUAAGACAGAGGAUGCAAGCGUUAUCCGGAAUGAUUGGGCGUAAAGCGUCUGUAGGUUGUUUAAAAAGUAUUCUGUCAAAGAUUAGGGCUUAACCCUAGAUAGGCAGAAUAAACUUUUAAGCUAGAGUUUGGUAGAGGCAGAGGGAAUUCCCGGUGGAGCGGUGAAAUGCGUAGAUAUCGGGAGGAACACCAAAGGCGAAGGCACUCUGCUGGGCCAAUACUAACACUGAGAGACGAAAGCGAGGGGAGCAAAUGGGAUUAGAAACCCGUGUAGUCC
Molecule: ribosomal RNA, 426 nt
Filed under: uncultured bacterium
Lineage: Bacteria
Description: partial 16S ribosomal RNA
Rfam family: Bacterial small subunit ribosomal RNA
Source: RNAcentral